UACGAAGGGGGCUAGCGUUGCUCGGAAUUACUGGGCGUAAAGGGAGCGUAGGCGGACAUUUAAGUCAGGGGUGAAAUCCCGGAGCUCAACUCCGGAACUGCCUUUGAUACUGGGUGUCUUGAGUGUGAGAGAGGUAUGUGGAACUCCGAGUGUAGAGGUGAAAUUCGUAGAUAUUCGGAAGAACACCAGUGGCGAAGGCGACAUACUGGCUCAUUACUGACGCUGAGGCUCGAAAGCGUGGGGAGCAAACAGGAUUAGAUACCCUGGUAGUCCACGCCGUAAGCGAUGAUUGCUAGUUGGCGGGAAGCUUGCUUCUCGGUGACGCAGCUAACGCAUUAAGCAAUCCGCCUGGGGAGUACGGUCGCAAGAUUAAA
This 374-nucleotide ribosomal RNA is filed under the name uncultured bacterium. Its description in RNAcentral is "bacterial SSU rRNA". It matches the Rfam family "Bacterial small subunit ribosomal RNA", at positions 524 to 898 of the family's 1533-position model. The record is from RNAcentral.